Molecule: long non-coding RNA, 243 nt
Filed under: Trifolium pratense (red clover)
Lineage: Eukaryota; Viridiplantae; Streptophyta; Magnoliopsida; Fabales; Fabaceae
Description: long non-coding RNA (TPRA_LNC011034)
Source: RNAcentral
CAGUAGGGGUUGGCUCUUGAAGAAACAUGUAGUCCAUGAACCAUUGUGGAAAAAAAUCAUGUAUCUUAGCAGAAGAUUGUUCCGGAGCUAUCUGUUCCGAAGUCAAAAAUAAAUCUAAGUAUAGGUGUAUAUAUGAAGAGAAGAGAAUGAGUAUUAUAUUUUUACUGUAAAGAAGAAUGAGUACUGAUUUUAUAGAGGGGAGGAAAAACUAGCUGUUUAAUGCUCUUAAGUUACUGGCGGAAA